GAAAUUGUGCAGGUUUGUCCCAGGGCAUUGGUUUUCCCUUUCAUAUCAUGUAUAGCUCCAUGGUGAUGCUUCCUGCUCCUGUUUCUUUCACUUCCUCUUCAUCAAGCCUCCUUUCAGAUAUAGUUCAUUCACAUUUACAUUAAGCUCUCUAAAAUUGUAGUUACUGGAUGCAUACAAAACUCUGAGGUGCCAUAUACGGCAGGGAAAAUAAAUGUUGCUGUGCUUUAUUACAAAGAACAAGGAGCAAAGACAAGGGCAUGGGAUAAAUAAGGAUAUAUACAUAUCGGCUAUUCUCCUGCAGGAACUUACCAUUUGCAAAUGUGACUCACCAAGCAAAAGGAUAUAGUGGUCAGCGUGUAGAAUACUGUGGGCAGAACUGUGGUGAGAAAUACAAAAAGGAACAAGUAAAUCCCUGAAUCCAGAAUGGAAAUGAUACACUUCUUGAAAGAGGUAAGAAUUUGGCCCAGCCCUGAUCAAUGUUUAUGAUUUUUGUGGGAAAAAUCAAAGGAAAAUAAAACACAUACCCAAAAUACUAAGAAUAAAGG
Molecule: long non-coding RNA, 545 nt
Filed under: Canis lupus familiaris (dog)
Lineage: Eukaryota; Metazoa; Chordata; Mammalia; Carnivora; Canidae
Description: lncRNA (ENSCAFG00845020180.1)
Source: RNAcentral